Raphanus sativus (radish) is the source of this 643-nucleotide long non-coding RNA. RefSeq lists it as uncharacterized. The record is from RefSeq and is a predicted model, not a curated record. Lineage: Eukaryota; Viridiplantae; Streptophyta; Magnoliopsida; Brassicales; Brassicaceae. The transcript is spliced from 3 exons.
GGAGUACGAAGAGGAGUACAUUUGGUGGUAGGCCGAGAAGAAAGAGGAGUACAUUUGGUGGAACAAAACAGGGUGGAGGAUAAAGCUGAAGAUCGAGUAAAGGUUCAAUGGUUCAGAGGAUCAACUUAAACACACUGCACAAAUUAGUGUGUUGCCUAUCUGCAAAUCUCUUGUGUUGAUACAGAGAUGCUUGCGAUAAGAGGAGAGUUUGAAGCUAGCAGCUAAUUACUAGUAUGGAGGAAUCAAAAUGAUGUACGUCUUAAUUCGUACAAUAUAUUUUAAAUCAACUUCUCAUGGAUUCAGUUUGAGAUAUUUUUGGAUUGCAGUAUAUGUAACAAGCAUACUUAGUCUGUCGGUAUAUUCUGUAAAAUAUUAUUAUAGUUUUGUUAGGAUAUCUCUGCUGACUUUUGUAAUACAUAAAUUUCUUUCUGCUGUAAAUGCAACCAAGUAUGGUACGGUACAUGCCAUGUAUUUGUACUUGCUGAUUUUAAUCCAAAUUUGAGGACUACUGAUUUGGAGAAGCUUUUUGUGGGCUUCAAAGACAGUGAAUCUGGGAACGCUUUACACAGGUGAAGGAUCGUGGAAUACUUUGCACAGCUUUGCUAAACAAGCAUCAUUUUUGCAUUCCAUAAUUGGUGAUAUC